This is a long non-coding RNA of Ooceraea biroi (clonal raider ant), 500 nucleotides long. RefSeq lists it as uncharacterized. The record is from RefSeq and is a predicted model, not a curated record. NCBI's taxonomy places the organism in Eukaryota, Metazoa, Arthropoda, Insecta, Hymenoptera, Formicidae.
ACGGCGUUAAUCGCCACGCUAUCGCGUCCGCUCCGCAAUAAUCCGCAAGUUCCUCCACCUUUUCUAUACUCAGAAUAGUGGCGAUCUGCGUCAAACGCGCGAACUUGUCCCUCACCGACCACGAUGUGGCAGCUGCCAGAUUCCAUAAGGACGCACGCUUGCGAGGGACUGAACGAGAUCCAGUCGAGUGGGAAGUACUUCGAGGAGGCACUUUGAAAAUUCUCGAAGAUACAUACUCGAUUGAAAGUCGAUUUUAGGACCACCUUCUCCAAGCGCGCUGUAACCUCCGCUGUCAGAAGUCCAAUGAGUGCGUCGUAGUUGGAGGUCGUUAGGCUACCCUUGAAUCCUUGGAGCAGGCCGUCCAGAUUUGCGUCUUACCUAUCGCACUCCUUCUGCAGAAUGGAGAUUGUCAUUAAAAGUCUACCAGGCCCGUAAUAAGUCUCGAUAAUUGGUUGAUGCACUUCUACGAUGCGCGCGAUUCCUUCGAACAAGAGAGUCAU